This 479-nucleotide ribosomal RNA is filed under the name Facklamia sp. HGA0203. RNAcentral describes it as "bacterial SSU rRNA". It matches the Rfam family "Bacterial small subunit ribosomal RNA", at positions 134 to 599 of the family's 1533-position model. Lineage: Bacteria; Bacillati; Bacillota; Bacilli; Lactobacillales; Aerococcaceae. The record is from RNAcentral.
UUGCGGGGGAUAACCAUUGGAAACGAUGACUAAUACCGCAUAGAAUCGCAGAUCGCAUGAUCAACGAAGGAAAGACGGCUUCGGCUGUCACAAAAGGAUGGCUCCGCGGUGCAUUAGCUAGAUGGUGGGGUAACGGCCUACCAUGGCAAUGAUGCAUAGCCGACCUGAGAGGGUGAUCGGCCACAUUGGGACUGAGACACGGCCCAAACUCCUACGGGAGGCAGCAGUAGGGAAUCUUCCGCAAUGGGCGCAAGCCUGACGGAGCAACGCCGCGUGUGUGAAGAAGGUCUUCGGAUCGUAAAGCACUGUUGUUAGAGAAGAACGACCGCUAGAGUAACUGUUAGCGGAGUGACGGUAUCUAACCAGAAAGCCACGGCUAACUACGUGCCAGCAGCCGCGGUAAUACGUAGGUGGCAAGCGUUGUCCGGAUUUAUUGGGCGUAAAGGGAGCGCAGGCGGUGACUUAAGUCUGAUGUGAAA